CCCUACGGGAGGCAGCAGUGGGGAAUAUUGGUCAAAGGGCGGAAGCCUGAACCAGCCAAGUCGCGUGAGGGAAUAAGGCCCUACGGGUUGUAAACCUCUUUUGUCGGGGAGCAAAGCGAACCACGUGUGGUUCAUUGAGAGUACCCGAAGAAAAAGCAUCGGCUAACUCCGUGCCAGCAGCCGCGGUAAUACGGAGGAUGCGAGCGUUAUCCGGAUUUAUUGGGUUUAAAGGGUGCGCAGGCGGAGGUGCAAGUCAGCGGUCAAAUUGCGGGGCUCAACCCCGUACUGCCGUUGAAACUGCAUCC
This 305-nucleotide ribosomal RNA is filed under the name uncultured bacterium. RNAcentral's name for it is "bacterial SSU rRNA". It matches the Rfam family "Bacterial small subunit ribosomal RNA", at positions 337 to 640 of the family's 1533-position model. The record is from RNAcentral.